This 165-nucleotide ribosomal RNA is filed under the name uncultured bacterium. RNAcentral describes it as "partial 16S ribosomal RNA". It matches the Rfam family "Bacterial small subunit ribosomal RNA", at positions 1335 to 1500 of the family's 1533-position model. The record is from RNAcentral.
CUAGUAAUGGCAGGUCAGCAUACUGCCGUGAAUACGUUCCCGGGCCUUGUACACACCGCCCGUCACACCAUGAGAGUUGGAGAUACCCGAAGCCUAUGAGCUAACUUUUAGAGGCAGUAGUCGAAGGUAGAAUCAAUGAUUGGGGUGAAGUCGUAACAAGGUAAC